AAAUUCUAAAGCUAUUCCUUAUUCUAAAGCGUAUACCGCAUUCUUGUGAACUAUUAAAUUAAAAUUACUACUAUUACUAGAACCGUGUAAAAAGUGGAUUGCAUUCUUAAAGUGGAUUCAGAGCUCGAACUAUCAUCACUUAACCCUAAAUACCGUGGCACUUUAUAAUAAGUAUUUGCUUCCCAACGGCUGUUGUCCAGACCGACAUCGAAGACCAAACGAUCCGACCAUAGGGACUAAACGUAAGUCGACAAACUAUUGACUAGACUAAACAUACAGAUAUGUAUUAACACG
Molecule: long non-coding RNA, 294 nt
Filed under: Aedes aegypti (yellow fever mosquito)
Lineage: Eukaryota; Metazoa; Arthropoda; Insecta; Diptera; Culicidae
Description: lncRNA AAEL020292
Source: RNAcentral